AUACUUAGGGUGCGAGCGUUAAUCGGAAUUACUGGGCGUAAAGCGCGCGUAGGCGGCUUGGUCAGUCGGAUGUGAAAGCCCCGGGCUUAACCUGGGAAUUGCAUUCGAUACUGCCAGGCUGGAAUGUAGUAGAGGGAAGUGGAAUUCCGGGUGUAGCGGUGAAAUGCGUAGAUAUCCGGAGGAACAUCAGUGGCGAAGGCGACUUCCUGGACUAACAUUGACGCUGAGGUGCGAAAGCGUGGGGAGCAAACAGGAUUAGAUACCCCAGUAGUCC
This 274-nucleotide ribosomal RNA is filed under the name uncultured bacterium. Its description in RNAcentral is "partial 16S ribosomal RNA". It matches the Rfam family "Bacterial small subunit ribosomal RNA", at positions 523 to 796 of the family's 1533-position model. The record is from RNAcentral.